CCUACGGGAGACAGCAGUGGGGAAUAUUGGGCAAUGGGCGCAAGCCUGACCCAGCAACGCCGCGUGAAGGAAGAAGGCUUUCGGGUUGUAAACUUCUUUUCUGAGGGACGAAGAAAGUGACGGUACCUCAGGAAUAAGCCACGGCUAACUACGUGCCAGCAGCCGCGGUAAUACGUAGGUGGCAAGCGUUAUCCGGAUUGAUUGGGUGUAAAGGGCGUGAAGGUGGGAAAGCAAGUCAGAUGUGAAAACUCAGGGCUCAACCCUGAGACUGCAUUUGAAACUGUUGUUCUUGAGUGCUGGAGAGGCAAACGGAAUUCCGUGUGUAGCGGUGAAAUGCGUAGAUAUACGGAGGAACACCAGUGGCGAAGGCGAAUUGCUGGACAGUAACUGACGCUGAGGCGCGAAAGCGUGGGGAGCAAACAGGAUUAGAUACCCUUGUAGUC
RNAcentral lists this ribosomal RNA (443 nucleotides) under uncultured bacterium. Its description in RNAcentral is "partial 16S ribosomal RNA". It matches the Rfam family "Bacterial small subunit ribosomal RNA", at positions 338 to 795 of the family's 1533-position model. The record is from RNAcentral.